UGUUGGAGCCCAGAUCGUUUACCGUGAAAAAAUUAGAGUGUUCAAAGCAGGCAGAUAUUUCAUACUGCCACCGAAUACAUUAGCAUGGGAUAAUGGAAUAGGACCCUGUCCUUCAUGUUUCGCGUUGGUUGUGCCACGUGCGUGCGCUUCGCGGUGCGCGCGCGUGGCAUGGUUUCGUCUAAAGGAGGACCAGGGUAAUGAUUAAUAGGGAUAGUUGGGGGCAUUAAUAUUUAAUUGUCAGAGGUGAAAUUCUUGGAUUUAUGAAAGAUUAACUUCUGCGAAAGCAUCUGCCAAGGAUGUUUUCAUUAAUCAAGAACGAAAGUUAGGGGAUCGAAGACGAUUAGAUACCGUCGUAGUCUUAACCAUAAACCAUGCCGACCAGCGAUUGGGAGACGUUUCACACGGGAGUGGUCCCGGGGAGAGUGCGUGGGGGUGGCCGCUUCGUGCGGUAGCCUCCUUGGCUUUCCCUUUGGGGCUGCUCCCACUAAAGGAUGACUCCCCUAGCAGCUUGUGAGAAAUCAU
This 522-nucleotide ribosomal RNA is filed under the name Acanthamoeba astronyxis. RNAcentral describes it as "SSU rRNA". It matches the Rfam family "Eukaryotic small subunit ribosomal RNA", at positions 734 to 1101 of the family's 1831-position model. Lineage: Eukaryota; Discosea; Longamoebia; Acanthamoebidae. The record is from RNAcentral.